CAGAGUUCAUGCCCGAAAGGGUAGACCUCCCACCCUUGUGUAUUAUUACUUUGUUGCUUUGGCGAGCUGCUCUUCGGGGCCUUGUAUGCGCGCCAGAGAAUAUCAAAACUCUUUUUAUUAAUGUCGUCUGAGUACUAUAUAAUAGUUAA
Molecule: ribosomal RNA, 149 nt
Filed under: Sclerotinia trifoliorum
Lineage: Eukaryota; Fungi; Ascomycota; Leotiomycetes; Helotiales; Sclerotiniaceae
Description: ribosomal internal transcribed spacer 1
Source: RNAcentral